This is a microRNA precursor of Bison bison bison, 124 nucleotides long. NCBI's taxonomy places the organism in Eukaryota, Metazoa, Chordata, Mammalia, Artiodactyla, Bovidae. The record is from Ensembl.
GCCAGCUUGGACCUGCGUCCUCCCUGACGGGUCCUGUACUGAGCUGCCCCGAGGCCCUUCGCUGUGCCCAGCUCGGGUCAGCUCAGUACCGGGCGCGUCGGGGUGGGAGUCGGCCGGAAGCAGG